ACAUAUUACGAGUUUGUGCGUGAAUCUAACAUACAAAGACAACACUUCAGAAAGGGGGAUUUGGUGUUAAUUAACUGCCAAAUCCCUCAAAACCUAGGUGUGUGUUUAAACAUUAGAUUCACGCACAAACUCGACAUAUGCCU
This 143-nucleotide microRNA precursor is filed under the name Olea europaea subsp. europaea. Lineage: Eukaryota; Viridiplantae; Streptophyta; Magnoliopsida; Lamiales; Oleaceae. The record is from RNAcentral.